AUUAAGAAAAGUCUAAUGGCGUUAACAUCAACAAAACCAUCAAUGUUAGGGAACAAAGCUAAUCCAUAAAUGAGCAACACAAAGAUAGCUUCAAAAGCAUCCACACUACCGGCUUGAGCAAAGGCAGUAGCUUCCUUGAUGAGGAAAUCAGAUGGCAACCCAAAAAAUCCUCCUUUCUUCACCCAAUAAGCCUCUAUCUCAGACUUCUUCAAGUGAAG
RNAcentral lists this long non-coding RNA (218 nucleotides) under Lathyrus oleraceus (garden pea). RNAcentral describes it as "Pisum sativum (pea) long non-coding RNA (PSAT_LNC031809)". Lineage: Eukaryota; Viridiplantae; Streptophyta; Magnoliopsida; Fabales; Fabaceae. The record is from RNAcentral.